UACGUAGGGUGCAAGCGUUAUCCGGAAUUAUUGGGCGUAAAGAGCUCGUAGGCGGUUUGUCGCGUCUGCUGUGAAAACUGGAGGCUCAACCUCCAGCCUGCAGUGGGUACGGGCAGACUAGAGUGCGGUAGGGGAGAUUGGAAUUCCUGGUGUAGCGGUGGAAUGCGCAGAUAUCAGGAGGAACACCGAUGGCGAAGGCAGAUCUCUGGGCCGUAACUGACGCUGAGGAGCGAAAGCAUGGGGAGCGAACAUG
Molecule: ribosomal RNA, 253 nt
Filed under: uncultured bacterium
Lineage: Bacteria
Description: partial 16S ribosomal RNA
Rfam family: Bacterial small subunit ribosomal RNA
Source: RNAcentral